CGUCCACCUAAGUCCCAAGAACACCCACGCCCAAGCCCUUCUAGAUUUGAGAUCGAGCGAAGCUAAGCUUUUCAUCAAGAUGGCGCUUUUUCGACUUGUGGUGUGGCAUGUCAUGAUGGCCUCAAAUCAUCAGUGUUACAGGUGGCCACCACAAGCGAGGGGUCUGCUUCAACUUCUUGACAGAGACAGAUCGGAGGCUUUCUUGACAAUGGAAAGUUUUGUUGGUAGUAGUAUUAGCUUUAUAGGGGGACAUGUCAUUAGGGUUGAUCUUGUGCUUUUGAGGCCUUGCUUACAGGCACGGUACUACUGAAAUAGUUAGCAAAAGAUGGCAAUACUGAUGUAAUCCAGAAUGUAGCAGUACAUAUCAACUGCCGUCUUAGUUUCAGUUCAUGAAGUGAAUAAUGCAUACCAAACUAUGUCCCAGUUCAAAGCAUCCAGAACA
This 442-nucleotide unclassified non-coding RNA is filed under the name Zea mays. RNAcentral's name for it is "misc RNA Zm00001eb404460". Lineage: Eukaryota; Viridiplantae; Streptophyta; Magnoliopsida; Poales; Poaceae. The record is from RNAcentral.